GCUUACGGCCAUACCAGCCCAAGAACGGCCAGUCUCGUCUGAUCUCGGAAGCUAAGAAGGCUUGGCCCUGGUUAGUACUUGGAUGGGAGACCUCCUGGGAAUUCCAGGUGCUGUAAGCU
This is a ribosomal RNA of Denticeps clupeoides (denticle herring), 119 nucleotides long. NCBI's taxonomy places the organism in Eukaryota, Metazoa, Chordata, Actinopteri, Clupeiformes, Denticipitidae. The record is from Ensembl.